Molecule: long non-coding RNA, 316 nt
Filed under: Mytilus galloprovincialis (Mediterranean mussel)
Lineage: Eukaryota; Metazoa; Mollusca; Bivalvia; Mytilida; Mytilidae
Source: RNAcentral
CAAAUAUAUUCAGGAUAAAGAAAAACAAGAGGCUGUCACAACGACAGCAAACCGGAUUUAUUAAUAUUUAUUUGUAUCCUGGCAAAAUCACAAGAACCAUUACUGAUGAAUGGUGAAAGUGAAAAUCGUCAAUAUCAAAUUUGACCUCCAUUUUGUCAUCAGUAUCAACAUUUUAAAAUUUGAAAAGCUUAGAUUGAAUGGUUCAUGAGUAAAUGCAACAACGUGAAUGGAAACGCCAUUUCACAAUCUUUCAAGAACCAUAACUCCUGAACGGUAAAAGUCGAAAUCGUCAUUAUUGAACUUGACCUCUAUUUUG